GGGGCGUAGGACUCCUGGAUCUGAAGGCGGAGGGGCUGGGAGACUGAACUCCUUGAGCCCAGACGAGGAGGGGCUUAGGCGUCCACAUCCCUGGCUUCGAAGGAGCCAGACGUUUGGAUAUAAUGGAAGAGCGUGUCAGGAGUGGCUUCCGUUCCUGUCUCCUUCAGCAUCCUGAUGGCGUACACUGUGGCUCUGGCUAACUCCUACGGACGCCUCAUCUCUGAGCUCAAACGUCAGAGAGAGACGGAGGCGCAGAAUAAAGUCUUCCUGGCACGGCGCGCUGUGGCGCUGACCUCCACCAAACCGGCUCUUUGACCCCCGCAGCCCACGUCCCACUUUCAGACCCCAGGCCCAUUGUAAGCCUAGGUCACAACAUCUGUAAACUAGGAGAACUGGAGAAGACUCCAAGCCCUUCCAGCUUUGCUAUCUGGAGAUUUCCAGGGCCCCUCGCCGCCACGUCCCUGACUCUCGGGUGAUCUUCCAUAUAUCAAUAAAUACAGCCGAGGUUGCUGAGCGCGCUUUGAAAUCUGCGUCCUGAAGGUGGGGGCAGGGCUACAGCAGGGCAGGAGCCAAUCAAAUGUAUGGGCAUGUUUGUCGAUGCAGAGCGCUCUUCCGC
RNAcentral lists this long non-coding RNA (616 nucleotides) under Pan troglodytes (chimpanzee). RNAcentral's name for it is "long non-coding RNA NONPTRT008626". The record is from RNAcentral. Lineage: Eukaryota; Metazoa; Chordata; Mammalia; Primates; Hominidae.